AUUGAACGCUGGCGGCAUGCCUUACACAUGCAAGUCGAACGGCAGCACGGGUGCUUGCACCUGGUGGCGAGUGGCGAACGGGUAAGUAAUACAUCGGAACAUGUCCUGUAGUGGGGGAUAGCCCGGCGAAAGCCGGAUUAAUACCGCAUACGAUCCACGGAUGAAAGCGGGGGACCUUCGGGCCUCGCGCUAUAGGGUUGGCCGAUGGCUGAUUAGCUAGUUGGUGGGGUAAAGGCCUACCAAGGCGACGAUCAGUAGCUGGUCUGAGAGGACGACCAGCCACACUGGGACUGAGACACGGCCCAGACUCCUACGGGAGGCAGCAGUGGGGAAUUUUGGACAAUGGGCGAAAGCCUGAUCCAGCAAUGCCGCGUGUGUGAAGAAGGCCUUCGGGUUGUAAAGCACUUUUGUCCGGAAAGAAAUCCUUGACUCUAAUACAGUCGGGGGAUGACGGUACCGGAAGAAUAAGCACCGGCUAACUACGUG
This 486-nucleotide ribosomal RNA is filed under the name uncultured bacterium. RNAcentral describes it as "partial 16S ribosomal RNA". It matches the Rfam family "Bacterial small subunit ribosomal RNA", at positions 30 to 507 of the family's 1533-position model. The record is from RNAcentral.